AAUUYGCCCAUUAAUUGUGGGCUGGUAUGAAAGGACAAACGAGGGGGGCCCUGUCUCUCACUUAAAACUAAAAAUUGAUCUUCAGGUGAAGAAACCUGAAUUAACCUAUAGGACAAGAAGACCCCGUAGAGCUUAGUCCCCAAAUAUUUAUAAACAAUGCUAAUAUAGACACAGUUCAUAAACAAUCCAAGACUUAGCUGGGGCGGCUAAGGAAAAUAAAAUCUUCCAAUUAAAUUCAUAUACCUUAAGGUUUAUUUACCUUCUACCUUUUUAUUGACCCUUUUCAAGAACAAAAAACAUAGCUACCUCGGGGAUAACAGAUUAAUCCUUCUUGAGAGCCCGCAUUGACAGAAGGGUUUGACACCUCGAUGUUGGCUUAGAGUACCCAAUAGAUCUGCAGCAGUCUUUACAUGGUAGGUUUGUUCAACCUUUAAAACKCUACGUGAU
Molecule: ribosomal RNA, 447 nt
Filed under: Reteterebella lirrf
Lineage: Eukaryota; Metazoa; Annelida; Polychaeta; Terebellida; Terebellidae
Description: partial large subunit ribosomal RNA
Source: RNAcentral